GGUGGUCCGAGUGCAGUGGUGUUUACAACUAAUUGAUCACAACCAGUUACAGAUUCCUUUGUUCCUUCUCCACUCCCACUGCUCCACUUGACCAGCCUUUA
Molecule: Y RNA, 101 nt
Filed under: Microcebus murinus (gray mouse lemur)
Lineage: Eukaryota; Metazoa; Chordata; Mammalia; Primates; Cheirogaleidae
Description: Y RNA (ENSMICG00000047777.1)
Rfam family: Y RNA
About the family: Y RNAs are components of the Ro ribonucleoprotein particle (Ro RNP), in association with Ro60 and La proteins. The Y RNAs and Ro60 and La proteins are well conserved, but the function of the Ro RNP is not known. In humans the RNA component can be one of four small RNAs -- hY1, hY3, hY4 and hY5.
Source: Rfam by way of RNAcentral